RNAcentral lists this ribosomal RNA (952 nucleotides) under Paraconiothyrium rosae. RNAcentral describes it as "SSU rRNA". It matches the Rfam family "Eukaryotic small subunit ribosomal RNA", at positions 96 to 1056 of the family's 1831-position model. The record is from RNAcentral. Lineage: Eukaryota; Fungi; Ascomycota; Dothideomycetes; Pleosporales; Didymosphaeriaceae.
GCUCAUUAAAUCAGUUAUCGUUUAUUUGAUAGUACCUUACUACUUGGAUAACCGUGGUAAUUCUAGAGCUAAUACAUGCUAAAAACCCCAACUUCGGGAGGGGUGUAUUUAUUAGAUAAAAAACCAAUGCCCUUCGGGGCUCCUUUGGUGAUUCAUGAUAACUUCUCAGAUCGCAUGGCUUUACGCCGGCGACGGUUCAUUCAAAUUUCUGCCCUAUCAACUUUCGAUGGUAAGGUAUUGGCUUACCAUGGUUUCAACGGGUAACGGGGAAUUAGGGUUCGAUUCCGGAGAGGGAGCCUGAGAAACGGCUACCACAUCCAAGGAAGGCAGCAGGCGCGCAAAUUACCCAAUUCCGAUACGGAGAGGUAGUGACAAUAAAUACUGAUACAGGGCUCUUUUGGGUCUUGUAAUUGGAAUGAGUACAAUUUAAACCUCUUAACGAGGAACAAUUGGAGGGCAAGUCUGGUGCCAGCAGCCGCGGUAAUUCCAGCUCCAAUAGCGUAUAUUAAAGUUGUUGCAGUUAAAAAGCUCGUAGUUGAACCUUUGGCCUGGCUGGCAGGUCCGCCUCACCGCGUGCACUUGUCCGGCCGGGCCUUUUCUUCUGGAGAACCGCAUGCCCUUCACUGGGUGUGUUGGGGACCAGGACUUUUACUUUGAAAAAAUUAGAGUGUUCAAAGCAGGCCUUUGCUCGAAUACGUUAGCAUGGAAUAAUAGAAUAGGACGUGCGGUCCUAUUUUGUUGGUUUCUAGGACCGCCGUAAUGAUUAAUAGGGACAGUCGGGGGCAUCAGUAUUCAAUUGUCAGAGGUGAAAUUCUUGGAUUUAUUGAAGACUAACUACUGCGAAAGCAUUUGCCAAGGAUGUUUUCAUUAAUCAGUGAACGAAAGUUAGGGGAUCGAAGACGAUCAGAUACCGUCGUAGUCUUAACCAUAAACUAUGCCGACUAGGGAUCGG